CGCCUGUAACAACAAUACUACGCUACAGACACCCUCACUAUUGACUAAUCAGAAGGAAGUGUUUGUGGAUGGUAAUGGUGUGUGUUGAUAGUAGUAGUAGAAGUAGUAGUAGUAGCACGGAUAAUGAAAAGACUACCCAGUUCAUCUGCUUGGUGGUUCAAAACUGUGUUGCUUGUAUCUCAACGCGUGGCUCAGAUUUGAAUGCGUAACGGAAGCAGUGAAGCAGGAACGAAUAAAUUUAUCAAUAUUCCAUGCCAGCUACAACUAUAUACCAUUUAUACAAGAAAUACAACACACAUCCACACUACAGGCAACACGCGGUCCCCAACACACACACUCAGAAAAGAAAAGGUGGCGGUUCUGUAAAUCUUUGAACCAUCUUUCACAUCCCACUCCGCCGCCGCCUCCUCCCUCCCCACGCCACACUGCCGUCACCCUGCCAACCUACGCCAUCAUCAUCAUCGUCUUGAUAAAUUUUGGCCCUCAAUCUCUCCGCUCCGUGCUCAGAAAUGCUCUACUCUGAACACGACUACUUCCCAAGGCCACAGGGAUGUUUAGCCACGUUCACAAGUGUUUUUUACUGUUAAUAAUGAAGAAAUCUUGUUAAUCUGCCACUAGAACCGUAAAAAAAAAACUUUAAA
This is a long non-coding RNA of Scylla paramamosain (green mud crab), 641 nucleotides long. RefSeq lists it as uncharacterized. NCBI's taxonomy places the organism in Eukaryota, Metazoa, Arthropoda, Malacostraca, Decapoda, Portunidae. The transcript is spliced from 2 exons. The record is from RefSeq and is a predicted model, not a curated record.